Molecule: ribosomal RNA, 849 nt
Filed under: uncultured bacterium
Lineage: Bacteria
Description: bacterial SSU rRNA
Rfam family: Bacterial small subunit ribosomal RNA
Source: RNAcentral
GGCAGCGAGAUCAGUGCUUGCACUGAUUGUCGGCGACCGGCGCACGGGUGCGUAACGCGUAUGCAACCUACCCAUUACAGGGGGAUAACACUGAGAAAUCGGUACUAAUACCCCAUAACAUCCAGGGAGGCAUCUUCUUGGGUUGAAAACUCCGGUGGUAAUGGAUGGGCAUGCGUUGUAUUAGUUAGUUGGUGGGGUAACGGCUCACCAAGACGACGAUACAUAGGGGGACUGAGAGGUUAACCCCCCACAUUGGUACUGAGACACGGACCAAACUCCUACGGGAGGCAGCAGUGAGGAAUAUUGGUCAAUGGACGCAAGUCUGAACCAGCCAUGCCGCGUGCAGGAAGACGGCUCUAUGAGUUGUAAACUGCUUUUGUACGAGGGUAAACGCAGAUACGUGUAUCUGUCUGAAAGUAUCGUACGAAUAAGGAUCGGCUAACUCCGUGCCAGCAGCCGCGGUAAUACGGAGGAUUCAAGCGUUAUCCGGAUUUAUUGGGUUUAAAGGGUGCGUAGGCGGUCGGAUAAGUUAGAGGUGAAAUCCCGGGGCUCAACUUCGGAAUUGCCUCUGAUACUGUUCGGCUAGAGAGUAGUUGCGGUAGGCGGAAUGUAUGGUGUAGCGGUGAAAUGCUUAGAGAUCAUACAGAACACCGAUUGCGAAGGCAGCUUACCAAGCUACUUCUGACGUUGAGGCACGAAAGCGUGGGGAGCAAACAGGAUUAGAUACCCUGGUAGUCCACGCAGUAAACGAUGAUAACUCGUUGUCGGCGAUACAAUGUCGGUGACUAAGCGAAAGCGAUAAGUUAUCCACCUGGGGAGUACGUUCGCAAGAAUGAAACUCAAAGGAAU